RNAcentral lists this ribosomal RNA (447 nucleotides) under uncultured bacterium. Its description in RNAcentral is "SSU rRNA". It matches the Rfam family "Bacterial small subunit ribosomal RNA", at positions 26 to 518 of the family's 1533-position model. The record is from RNAcentral.
AGAGCGAACGCUGGCGGCAGGCUUAACACAUGCAAGUCGAGCGGGCGUAGCAAUACGUCAGCGGCAGACGGGUGAGUAACGCGUGGGAACGUACCUUUUGGUUCGGAACAACCCAGGGAAACUUGGGCUAAUACCGGAUAAGCCCUUACGGGGAAAGAUUUAUCGCCGAAAGAUCGGCCCGCGUCUGAUUAGCUAGUUGGUGGGGUAAUGGCCCACCAAGGCGACGAUCAGUAGCUGGUCUGAGAGGAUGAUCAGCCACAUUGGGACUGAGACACGGCCCAAACUCCUACGGGAGGCAGCAGUGGGGAAUAUUGGACAAUGGGCGCAAGCCUGAUCCAGCCAUGCCGCGUGAGUGAUGAAGGCCCUAGGGUUGUAAAGCUCUUUUGUGCGGGAAGAUAAUGACGGUACCGCAAGAAUAAGCCCGGCUAACUUCGCGCCAGCAGCCGC